Molecule: ribosomal RNA, 924 nt
Filed under: uncultured organism
Description: bacterial SSU rRNA
Rfam family: Bacterial small subunit ribosomal RNA
Source: RNAcentral
UGGAUCCAGACUUUGAUUAUGGCUCAGGAUGAACGCUAGCUACAGGCUUAACACAUGCAAGUCGAGGGGCAGCGGGAUUGAAGCUUGCUUCAAUUGCCGGCGACCGGCGCACGGGUGAGUAACGCGUAUCCAACCUUCCGUACACUCAGGGAUAGCCUUUCGAAAGAAAGAUUAAUACCUGAUAGUAUCUUAAGCACACAUGUAAUUAAGAUUAAAGAUUUAUCGGUGUACGAUGGGGAUGCGUUCCAUUAGGUAGUAGGCGGGGUAACGGCCCACCUAGCCAACGAUGGAUAGGGGUUCUGAGAGGAAGGUCCCCCACAUUGGAACUGAGACACGGUCCAAACUCCUACGGGAGGCAGCAGUGAGGAAUAUUGGUCAAUGGACGAGAGUCUGAACCAGCCAAGUAGCGUGAAGGAUGAAGGUCCUACGGAUUGUAAACUUCUUUUAUAAGGGAAUAAACCCUCCCACGUGUGGGAGCUUGUAUGUACCUUAUGAAUAAGCAUCGGCUAACUCCGUGCCAGCAGCCGCGGUAAUACGGAGGAUGCGAGCGUUAUCCGGAUUUAUUGGGUUUAAAGGGAGCGCAGACGGGUCGUUAAGUCAGCUGUGAAAGUUUGGGGCUCAACCUUAAAAUUGCAGUUGAUACUGGCGUCCUUGAGUGCGGUUGAGGUGUGCGGAAUUCGUGGUGUAGCGGUGAAAUGCUUAGAUAUCACGAAGAACUCCGAUUGCGAAGGCAGCACACUAAUCCGUAACUGACGUUCAUGCUCGAAAGUGUGGGUAUCAAACAGGAUUAGAUACCCUGGUAGUCCACACGGUAAACGAUGGAUACUCGCUGUUGGCGAUAUACUGUCAGCGGCUUAGCGAAAGCGUUAAGUAUCCCACCUGGGGAGUACGCCGGCAACGGUGCAACUCAAAGGAAUUGACGGA